GACGAACGCUGGCGGCGUGCCUAAUACAUGCAAGUUGAGCGCUGAAGGUUGGUACUUGUACCAACUGGAUGAGCAGCGAACGGGUGAGUAACGCGUGGGGAAUCUGCCUUUGAGCGGGGGACAACAUUUGGAAACGAAUGCUAAUACCGCAUAAAAACUUUAAACACAAGUUUUAAGUUUGAAAGAUGCAAUUGCAUCACUCAAAGAUGAUCCCGCGUUGUAUUAGCUAGUUGGUGAGGUAAAGGCUCACCAAGGCGAUGAUACAUAGCCGACCUGAGAGGGUGAUCGGCCACAUUGGGACUGAGACACGGCCCAAACGCCUACGGGAGGCAGCAGUAGGGAAUCUUCGGCAAGAGACGAAAGUCUGACCGAGCAACGCCGCGUGAGUGAAGAAGGUUUUCGGAUCGUAAAACUCUGUUGGUAGAGAAGAACGUUGGUGAGAGUGGAAAGCUCAUCAAGUGACGGUAACUACCCAGAAAGGGACGGCUAACUACGUG
RNAcentral lists this ribosomal RNA (497 nucleotides) under uncultured bacterium. Its description in RNAcentral is "partial 16S ribosomal RNA". It matches the Rfam family "Bacterial small subunit ribosomal RNA", at positions 28 to 507 of the family's 1533-position model. The record is from RNAcentral.